UCUCGACAUAUUCAGUUAAGGGCAAUUGCUGGUGUGGGAGCUGGACACUGCUCCUGGUUGCUCGUCUUCUGUCUGGUCUCUGCGGAUCCCCGUCAUCAGUGGCUCUUCUCCUUUAUCCAAUGCCACAUCUUUGCCACAACCUUCACCUAGCAUAUGUUCUUACACACAUCACACAUGUACACACAUAGCCCAACACACAUAACUACAUACACACCAACAUUUUCCAUUCCAGAUUUGCCUCCCCAUCUUGACCUUGCCCCCAUUGAGUUCCCUCAUUUGCUCUUUUCUUUCCUGUGGCCUUGGGAUCUAAGGCGAAACCUGCUUCUUUCGGCAGGCUUUGGGCUUUUCCCUAGACAUGACUGAGUGCUGCCCCUGAAGCCGGCCUGGUAAGUCCAGCGAUUUAGCUCUGGCCUGGGACUGAAGACAAGUUCCUUCAUUCUUUCCAUCUUCCCCUCACCCAUUCUACGACAGCAGAGCUUUGGAGGUUAGCCAGACGUUGGCUUGGUGAACUCCACCUGCCACAUGGGCCCCCAAGGAUGUCCUAGAAAACGCUGUCACCUCUCUCUACCUUAACAGCUCAAGAUCUCCAGACACUUCUGAUUACCAGGUCCCUUGGGAGCACAUGAUGGUUUUCUUCCCCAAAAUUCUUAAAAAGAAGAAAAAGAAAAGAAAAGAAAAGAAAAGCCUGAAUGGCAGUCAGCACUGGCAGAAGUUGGCCUCUUCAUUGUGAAGUGAGGAAGGAGACUGUAAAAGGAAAUGGGAAGAGAGCAGAUCUGCCGAUAGCCAUGCUGGAGCGCGUCCAGGAGGAAGCUUCUCGGAUGAUGGCUGAGCAAGGAACCCGUCUGCUUCCCUGGCCAGCGUCUACUUCCGCCUAGUUUUAAGUCUCCACAAUUUUACCAGCCAGCCUACCACCCCCACCACAUACACACAUUCUCUCCCAUCAGGUGGGCUCCCAACACCGAAUGCAAGCUCUGAUCUGUUCCCUUCCUGGGACUUGUCCAAGCGAUCAGAUUUUAUCAAACAUCCUGGGAUGGCCGAGGGCCAAGUUAAACAUGCUCAGAUGGGCGGAAUUACCAAAUUAUAGCAUUUUUGUGCAGAAAGUCACCUCAUAGCACACUGAGCUGAAACUUCCACAAGAAAGAUGGCGAAACCAGACCGAGAGAGGUUCAAGGUCUUCCUUGAGGUCAUGCAGUGAGUUGUGAGUUUGUUUGGUGCCUCUUCCGGGAACCAGAAGGUCUGAGGUCAGAGGCUGUUGAACUUGAGAAGGGCCAAGACCUUCUUAAAAGGGCAAACCAGAGAAGAUGCUGAGCAUGCUACCUUUCCCGGAGCCUGACAGCAGGGGUCCACUGUGGGUACCACUUUACGCUGCUGUGGAGGGUGGUCAAGGAAGGCCUAUGGAGGUCAAACACUGAACUCAGUCUGCUACAUGACCCGAGUGGAUCUUGGAUUCUCUCUGGGUUUCAUUGUCACCUGUAAGAAGAGGUGAUUUAUGUGGACACUGGCUCGCACUGACCCUCAAUCCUGACUAAGAAACAGGAAGCACUAGCAGCAGCGGCCAUCACCACCCUGGAGAUUGCCAUUUGACUGGUCUGCGUCAUCAUCAGCAUCUGUAUGCAUGUAAAAAGGUUCACAAAUGACUUGAAUCUAUAGCCAGGGCCAGUGAGUGGGCCAGUAAUGUGAUGGUUAAUCUCAAUUGUCAACUCGGUGGGAUCUAGAGUCACCUAGGUGACAAAUCUCUGGGCAUGCCUUCAUUUAGAAUUUUCUCAGUGAAGUUGAUGGAGGUAGAGAGGCCCACCCUGAAUAUGGUCAGUAUCAUUCCAUGGACUGAAGUUCAGACUGUGUGAAAAGGAACCAUGUUGAUGAGCAUCAUCGGCCUGCAUCUCUCUGCUUCCUGGCUGUGGAUGUGAUGUGAACAUCUGCCUUAAGCUCCUGCUGGCAUUCUUUCUUUGUCGUGGGGGACGGUGUUCUCUCGAGCUAUAAGCCACAAUAAGCCUUCUUCCCUUAAAGUGCUUCUCUUCAGGUGUGGUCACAACAAGGAGGAAAGCAAUCAACACAAACAGCCUUCCCUUGGAAUGUAGGCCAUGUCCUAAUCCCAGAACCUGUGACUAGUCCUCUACUUGGAAAAAAAAGAGCUUGCACAAGUGUUUAGUUAAGUAUCUUGCAAGGAAGAAUGCA
Peromyscus maniculatus bairdii (prairie deer mouse) is the source of this 2175-nucleotide non-coding RNA. Lineage: Eukaryota; Metazoa; Chordata; Mammalia; Rodentia; Cricetidae. The record is from RefSeq and is a predicted model, not a curated record.